Molecule: ribosomal RNA, 253 nt
Filed under: uncultured bacterium
Lineage: Bacteria
Description: partial 16S ribosomal RNA
Rfam family: Bacterial small subunit ribosomal RNA
Source: RNAcentral
UACAGAGGGUGCAAGCGUUGUUCGGAAUUACUGGGCGUAAAGCGUGCGUAGUCGGUAUUGAGAGUCGCGGGUGAAAUCCCAGGGCUUAACCCUGGAACUGCCUGCGAGACCUCAGUACUAGAGUGUGAGAGGGGAUAGUGGAAUACCCAGUGUAGCGGUGAAAUGCGUAGAGAUUGGGUGGAACACCGGUGGCGAAGGCGGCUAUCUGGCUCACAACUGACGAUCAGGCACGAAAGCGUGGGGAGCGAACAGG